RNAcentral lists this ribozyme (75 nucleotides) under unclassified sequences. RNAcentral's name for it is "HDV ribozyme from F. prausnitzii". It matches the Rfam family "HDV ribozyme from F. prausnitzii". The record is from RNAcentral.
GUCGCUCAUGAUUGCAGCCUCCACGCGGCGAGCGACGGACAACAAUCAGUGUAAAGCUGGUUGGCUAAUGCUAAA